GGUUUCAUAGUGUAGUGGUUAGCACCCCUGCCUCGGAAGCAGCAAGUCUUGGGUUCGAUUCCCAGAGGAACCA
This is a non-coding RNA of Cynoglossus semilaevis (tongue sole), 73 nucleotides long. Lineage: Eukaryota; Metazoa; Chordata; Actinopteri; Pleuronectiformes; Cynoglossidae. The record is from the annotation of a RefSeq genome assembly.